UCCUCCCUCUGGCGGCGUGCCUAAUACAUGCAAGUUGAGCGCUGAAGGUUGGUACUUGUACCAACUGGAUGAGCAGCGAACGGGUGAGUAACGCGUGGGGAAUCUGCCUUUGAGCGGGGGACAACAUUUGGAAACGAAUGCUAAUACCGCAUAAAAACUUUAAACACAAGUUUUAAGUUUGAAAGAUGCAAUUGCAUCACUCAAAGAUGAUCCCGCGUUGUAUUAGCUAGUUGGUGAGGUAAAGGCUCACCAAGGCGAUGAUACAUAGCCGACCUGAGAGGGUGAUCGGCCACAUUGGGACUGAGACACGGCCCAAACUCCUACGGGAGGCAGCAGUAGGGAAUCUUCGGCAAUGGACGAAAGUCUGACCGAGCAACGCCGCGUGAGUGAAGAAGGUUUUCGGAUCGUAAAACUCUGUUGGUAGAGAAGAACGUUGGUGAGAGUGGAAAGCUCAUCAAGUGACGGUAACUACCCAGAAAGGGACGGCUAACUACGUG
Molecule: ribosomal RNA, 497 nt
Filed under: uncultured bacterium
Lineage: Bacteria
Description: partial 16S ribosomal RNA
Rfam family: Bacterial small subunit ribosomal RNA
Source: RNAcentral